UACGUAGGGGGCAAGCGUUGUCCGGAUUUAUUGGGCGUAAAGAGCGUGUAGGCGGUUUGGUAGGUCCGCUGUGAAAAACUCGAGGCUCAACCUCGAGACGCCGGUGGAAACCAUCAGGCUAGAGUCCGGAAGAGGAGAGUGGAAUUCCUGGUGUAGCGGUGAAAUGCGCAGAUAUCAGGAAGAACACCCGUGGCUAAGGCGGCUCUCUAGUACGGUAACUGACGCUGAGACGCGAAAAGCGUGGGGAGCGAACAGG
RNAcentral lists this ribosomal RNA (256 nucleotides) under uncultured bacterium. RNAcentral describes it as "partial 16S ribosomal RNA". It matches the Rfam family "Bacterial small subunit ribosomal RNA", at positions 524 to 776 of the family's 1533-position model. The record is from RNAcentral.